GUGCUCGCUUUGGCAGCACAUAUACUAAAAUUGGAACGAUACAGAGAUUAGCAUGGCCCCUGCUCAAGGAUGACACACAAUUUCGUGAAGCGUUCCAUACAUUU
This 104-nucleotide small nuclear RNA is filed under the name Meriones unguiculatus (Mongolian gerbil). The record is from RNAcentral. Lineage: Eukaryota; Metazoa; Chordata; Mammalia; Rodentia; Muridae.